GCCAGGCACAGUGGUGUGUGCCUGCAGUUCCAGCUACUUGGGAGCCUGAGGUUCGAGGAUCGCUUGAGCCCUGGAGUUCUGGGCUGCAGUGCACUAUACCAAUCAGGUGUUUGCACUAAGUUCAACAUCAAUAUGGUGACCUCCUGGAAGUCGGGGGCCACCAGAUUGCCUAAGGAGGGGUGAACUGGCCCAGGUCAGAAGCAGAGCAGGUCAAAACUCCUGUGCUGAUCAGUGGUGGGAUUAUGCCUGUGAAUAGCCACUGCACUUCAGCCUGGAUAACAUAUUGAGACCCUGU
Molecule: signal recognition particle RNA, 295 nt
Filed under: Aotus nancymaae (Ma's night monkey)
Lineage: Eukaryota; Metazoa; Chordata; Mammalia; Primates; Aotidae
Description: Metazoan signal recognition particle RNA (ENSANAG00000008521.1)
Rfam family: Metazoan signal recognition particle RNA
About the family: The signal recognition particle (SRP) is a universally conserved ribonucleoprotein.
Source: RNAcentral